AUAAUACUCCCUCCGACCCAUAUUACUUGUCUCAAAUUUGCCCAAAUAUGGAUGUAUCUAUGUUUAAAAAGCGUCUAGAUACAUGUAAUAUUUUGACAAGCAAUAUGGGUUUGAGGGAGUAAAUU
Molecule: non-coding RNA, 125 nt
Organism: Brachypodium distachyon (stiff brome)
Lineage: Eukaryota; Viridiplantae; Streptophyta; Magnoliopsida; Poales; Poaceae
Source: Rfam